AAACCUUAAGAAUUUAAACGCCCCUUUUCUCAUAUAUUUUGUCUUAAGUCAACAAAACCUCAUAGUCUCCGCCUAAUUAGAACCCCAAACACCUCAUCGGAAAUCAAAUCAUCAUCUUCUCCUCAUCGUAUACCUAUCGUCGCCAUAAUCCAAUCCAUAGAUCUACCACCGGCCAAUCAAGGCAAAUUUUUCAAUACUGGAGGAACUAAACUCACGUAUUUAAGGAGAAAAACGACCUUUUCGAACAUGUAGAGUUUCUUAAAGAGUUCUAAAAUUUUCAAGAAGUUAUAUGGAAGAUUCAGCAUGAUUAUGGUGCGCUCUACUGGUGGCAACAGUUUUCUAAUCAAAGGAAGGACAUAUCCAUGUUUAUGUUUUAAUGCUAACAUUUUCCCAGGACAUGACAUUAUAUAUUCUAGGUUGUAUUUAUCACAUGUCUUUUAUGCUUUUUCAUAUUUAGGUUAUAGAUUUUAAUGUUCAUUAUGUAAAGUUUACAUGUUUUUAUGCUUCUCCAUUUUCCAGGUUGUAAUUAUAUAUAAUAAUCACGGCCUGUAAACAUAACUGCAAUAUAUUUUUUUUUUAACUUUGUUUAGAUUUUGAAAUUAGAACGUGGCUUGAAUCUAGAUCAUGGGGCAGAAAUGUAUGGAGCAAAACCACCAGCAGGAAAACUGCCAAUAACUGCUCUGAACCGCCAUGGGAGCGGUUAUUUUUGUGAGUUUAAACCGACAGGAUUUCAUCUCAGCAAGAUCCAAGGGCUAAGAAUGAUUUUGUAGUUGGUUAGACUUAUUGGGUUUAAUGUAUAUAUAUAAUUAUUAU
Helianthus annuus (common sunflower) is the source of this 813-nucleotide long non-coding RNA. RefSeq lists it as uncharacterized. The record is from RefSeq and is a predicted model, not a curated record. NCBI's taxonomy places the organism in Eukaryota, Viridiplantae, Streptophyta, Magnoliopsida, Asterales, Asteraceae. The transcript is spliced from 3 exons.